Molecule: non-coding RNA, 778 nt
Filed under: Pareuchaetes insulata
Lineage: Eukaryota; Metazoa; Arthropoda; Insecta; Lepidoptera; Erebidae
Source: RNAcentral
UAUAAAUGUUUAUAGUUUAGAUAAUUUAUUUAAAAUUUAUUUUACAUACAAAUUUUAGUGUUAAUUUAUUUUUAUUUAAAUAAUUAAAUUAUAAUUGUAGUAAUUAAUAUUAAAUAUUUAAGAAAUUAAGAUUUAGUAAUAUUUAAAUUAAUAACAAAUUUUGUGCCAGCAGUUGCGGUUAAACAAAAAUUGAAUUAAAUUUUAUUGGUUUUUAAUUAUUAAUUUUUUUUUUUAUAAUUAAAAUUUUAAAUUAUUAGGUGAAAUUUUAAUUUAAUAAAAAAUUAUAAUAAUUUUAUGAUUUAAUAAAUUUUAUUAAAAACUAGGAUUAGAUACCCUAUUAUGAAAAAAUUAAAUUUAUAAUACUAAAAUAGUAAAUAAUUAUUUAUUGAAACUUAAAUAAUUUGGCGGUAUUUUAGUUCAUUUAGAGGAAUCUGUUUAAUAAUUGAUAAUCCACGAAUAAAUUUACUUAAUUUAUAAUUUUGUAUAUCGUUGUUAAAAAAAUAUUUUUUAAUGAAAAUAAUAUUUAAAAAUUUAAAUUUAAAAUUAAAUCAGAUCAAGAUGCAGAAAAUAAUUAAGAAUAUAAUGGAUUACAAUAAAUUUAUUUAAAUGAAUAUUAAUUUGAAAAAGUUAAUUGAAAUUGGAUUUAAAUGUAAUUUUAUUUAGUUAAAUAAAAUGAUUAAAAAUUAAAAUAUGUACAUAUUGCCCGUCGCUUUCAUAUAAUUUAAAUUGAAAUAAGUCGUAACAAAGUAGAGGUACUGGAAAGUGUUUCUAGAAAGAC